RNAcentral lists this unclassified non-coding RNA (334 nucleotides) under soil metagenome. RNAcentral's name for it is "partial contains 5.8S ribosomal RNA, internal transcribed spacer 2, and large subunit ribosomal RNA". The stretch from base 1 to 120 matches the Rfam family "5.8S ribosomal RNA", at positions 35 to 154 of the family's 154-position model. The record is from RNAcentral.
GAUGAAGAACGUAGCGAAAUGCGAUAAGUAAUGUGAAUUGCAGAAUUCAGUGAAUCAUCGAAUCUUUGAACGCACAUUGCGCCCGCCAGUAUUCUGGCGAGCAUGCCUGUUCGAGCGUCAUUUCAACCAUCAAGCCCCAGGCUUGUGUUGGAGCCCUGCGGCUGCCGCAGCCUCCCAAAACCAGUGGCGGGCUCGCUAUCACACCGAGUGCAGUAGUUUACUCUUCGCUCAGGGCGUGUGGCGGGUGCUAGCCGUGAAACCCCCAACUUCUCAAGGUUGACCUCGAAUCAGGUAGGAAUACCCGCUGAACUUAAGCAUAUCAAUAAGCGGAGGA